ACAUGUCUUUAUGAUAAUAAUUUAAAGUCAGGUCUGCUCCAUGAUUAAUUUAUUAAAUAGCUGCAGUAUUUUGACUGUACAAAGGUAGCAUAAUCAAUAGUUUUUUAAUUGAAAGCUGGAAUGAAAGAUUCGAUAAGGUAAAUAUUGUCUCAAAUUUAUUGAAAUUAAAAAUUUUUUUUUAGUAAAAAUACUAAAUUGAUUUUAAAAGACGAGAAGACCCUAUAGAUUUUUAUAUUUUAAAUUUAAAUUAAUAUAAAUUAAUAUUAUAUUUAAGUGAAAAAAUAUUUGAUUGGGGAAAUUAUUAAAUUAGUUAAAUUUUAAUAUUUAUUAAAACAAGAAUUAUUGAGUUGUUGAUCUUAAAUUUUUGAAUUAUAAGAAUAAAUUACCUUAGGGAUAACAGCGUAAUUUUUUUAGAGAGAUCAUAUUGAUAAAAAAGUUUGCGACCUCGAUGUUGAAUUAAGAUAAAAUUUUAAUGAAGAAGUUAAAAAUUUUUGGUCUGUUCGACCAUUAAAAUCUUACGU
This 521-nucleotide ribosomal RNA is filed under the name Hedycryptus rufopetiolatus. RNAcentral describes it as "partial 16S large subunit ribosomal RNA". The stretch from base 393 to 521 matches the Rfam family "Archaeal large subunit ribosomal RNA", at positions 2542 to 2670 of the family's 2987-position model. The record is from RNAcentral. Lineage: Eukaryota; Metazoa; Arthropoda; Insecta; Hymenoptera; Ichneumonidae.